This 450-nucleotide ribosomal RNA is filed under the name uncultured bacterium. RNAcentral's name for it is "bacterial SSU rRNA". It matches the Rfam family "Bacterial small subunit ribosomal RNA", at positions 330 to 794 of the family's 1533-position model. The record is from RNAcentral.
UCCAGACUCCUACGGGAGGCAGCAGUGGGGAAUAUUGGGCAAUGGGCGCAAGCCUGACCCAGCAACGCCGCGUGAAGGAAGAAGGCUUUCGGGUUGUAAACUUCUUUUGUCAGGGACGAAGCAAGUGACGGUACCUGACGAAUAAGCCACGGCUAACUACGUGCCAGCAGCCGCGGUAAUACGUAGGUGGCAAGCGUUAUCCGGAUUUAUUGGGUGUAAAGGGCGUGUAGGCGGGAAUGCAAGUCAGAUGUGAAAACUAUGGGCUCAACCCAUAGCCUGCAUUUGAAACUGUAUUUCUUGAGUGCUGGAGAGGCAAUCGGAAUUCCUAGUGUAGCGGUGAAAUGCGUAGAUAUUAGGAGGAACACCAGUGGCGAAGGCGGCUUUCUGGACUGUAACUGACGUUGAGGCACGAAAGUGUGGGGAGCAAACAGGAUUAGAUACCCGCGUAGG